CAAGUCGAACGAGAAAGGGGAGCAAUCCCUGAGUACAGUGGCGUACGGGUGAGUAACACGUGGAUGAUCUACCUCUUAGUGGGGAAUAACUAUGGGAAACCGUAGCUAAUACCGCAUAAGCCUGAGAAGGGAAAGCAGCAAUGCGCUGAGAGAGGAGUCCGCGGCCGAUUAGCUAGUUGGUGGGGUAAAGGCCCACCAAGGCUGAGAUCGGUAGCCGGCCUGAGAGGGCACACGGCCACACUGGCACUGAAACACGGGCCAGACUCCUACGGGAGGCAGCAGUGGGGAAUCUUGCACAAUGGGGGAAACCCUGAUGCAGCGACGCCGCGUGAGCGAUGAAGCCCUUCGGGGUGUAAAGCUCUUUCGGCAGGGAAGAUUAUGACGGUACCUGCAGAAGCAGCUGCGGCUAACUACGUGCCAGCAGCCGCGGUAAUACGUAGGCAGCAAGCGUUGUUCGGAGUUACUGGGCGUAAAGGGUGUGUAGGCGGUUGUUUAAGUUUGGUGUGAAAUCUCCCGGCUCAACCGGGAGGGUGCGCCGAAUACUGAAUGACUAGAGUGCGGGAGAGGAAAGUGGAAUUCCUGGUGUAGCGGUGAAAUGCGUAGAUAUCAGGAGGAACACCGGUGGUGUAGACGGCUUUCUGGACCGUAACUGACGCUGAGACACGAAAGCGUGGGUAGCAAACAGGAUUCGAUACCCUGGUAGUCCACGCCCUAAACGAUGCAUAUUUGGUGUGGGCAGUUCAUUCUGUCCGUGCCGGAGCUAACGCGUUAAAAUAUGCCGCCUGGGGAGUACAGUCGCAAGGCUGAAACUCAAAGGAAUUUGACGGGGGCCCGCACAAGCGGUGGAGCA
RNAcentral lists this ribosomal RNA (850 nucleotides) under uncultured Bacillota bacterium. RNAcentral describes it as "bacterial SSU rRNA". It matches the Rfam family "Bacterial small subunit ribosomal RNA", at positions 58 to 939 of the family's 1533-position model. Lineage: Bacteria; Bacillati; Bacillota. The record is from RNAcentral.